AUUGAACGCUGGCGGUAUGCUUAACACAUGCAAGUCGAACGGUAGCAGGCCUUCGGGCGCUGACGAGUGGCGGACGGGUGAGUAACGCGUAGGAAUCUGCCUGGUAGUGGGGGACAACGUGGGGAAACUCACGCUAAUACCGCAUACGUUCCCUAUUGAAAGAUGGGGAGGAAAGCGGGGGCUCUUCGGACCUCGCGCUAUCAGAUGAGCCUGCGUUAGAUUAGCUAGUUGGUGAGGUAAUGGCUCACCAAGGCGACGAUCCGUAACUGGUCUGAGAGGAUGAUCAGUCACACUGGAACUGAGACACGGUCCAGACUCCUACGGGUGGCUG
This 331-nucleotide ribosomal RNA is filed under the name uncultured Pseudomonadota bacterium. RNAcentral's name for it is "bacterial SSU rRNA". It matches the Rfam family "Bacterial small subunit ribosomal RNA", at positions 30 to 351 of the family's 1533-position model. The record is from RNAcentral. Lineage: Bacteria; Pseudomonadati; Pseudomonadota.